UCGAGUUUUCCAACUCCAAACCUUUGUGAACAUACCAUUGUUGCUUCGGCGGGAUCGUCCCCGGGAACUGCUGUGCACGGCGUGACCCGGGUGCCCCCGCCGAGGGACCCAAACUCUUGUUUUUCCAGUAGGAUCUUCUGAGUAUCUUGAUAAAUAAAUCA
Molecule: unclassified non-coding RNA, 161 nt
Filed under: uncultured Sordariomycetes
Lineage: Eukaryota; Fungi; Ascomycota; Sordariomycetes
Description: sequence contains ITS1
Source: RNAcentral